This 548-nucleotide long non-coding RNA is filed under the name Mytilus galloprovincialis (Mediterranean mussel). The record is from RNAcentral. Lineage: Eukaryota; Metazoa; Mollusca; Bivalvia; Mytilida; Mytilidae.
GUUUUUGUUAGUUUGAGAGGUUGUUACACUAUGUAUAUCACGAAGAACAGAUUGUUACCAGCGAAACCAAGGUUGACAAUGCUUUUUUCGAUGGGUAUCAAUCUGCUCUAUCACCCUCUCAGCUAAGUGUUAUUUAAUUUAUUAUACCGAAUGUCUUAGCCUUAUUGUCUUUUAAGGUAGCACAAUACAAAGAUUUUUUUACUUCCAAUCCCCAACCUUUAAAAUGCUGUAACUUUCUUAAAAUUGCAUAUAGAUUAAUAAAAGAGGUAUAUGCAGAUAGAUAAAAGAAUAAUCUUUUAAAUGAAUGCAAUAUUUUUGUUAUGCAAUCAUUAUGAAAUUAAUUACUGUGCAAUUAGUGGCAAAAUCUUGGUAAGUUCACUUGAAUGAAUUUAGCUCUUUCAUCUCUAUAGCUACACCAAGGGGAGGAAUCUACGUCAUCACGCAGGGUGUCGGCGAUUGAAAUUGGACCACCAUUUUGUCGCUUUUAGGUAAGAAUUUGACUUAUUAUGCCAGUUAUAUGAGGGUUAUGAUUAAUCAAAAUAGUCCAC